This 2743-nucleotide unclassified non-coding RNA is filed under the name Leishmania donovani. RNAcentral's name for it is "gene:unknown". Lineage: Eukaryota; Euglenozoa; Kinetoplastea; Trypanosomatida; Trypanosomatidae. The record is from RNAcentral.
ACGGCGCUGAGGGCCUCGAGACGCACCCGUGCACAAUAACAACAAAGAAAAAACAUAGCAGCGGGCUUGCCUACCGCUUACCUCCUCGUACAAGCCCUGUUGACAGACACACUUCCUCUUUCCACCGCCUGCCACCAAAGCCCGUUUCACUCUGCUACACCACUCUUAGGACUUCUUAUCCGACUCUUCGCUGCCUUGCUGUUCCGUAUCGUGUGGUUACCAAGUCCAACUAUCGUUGUUCCGCGACAGAUCCUUGCGCGAUCUCGCCCCUCCCCUUUGUCUUCGCCUUGAAUUCUCAUUCGCAUAUAUUUUUUUGAUGUAGCAGUGCCCUUUCCUCCGUUAUUCUCUCCUGUCUUUCCUCUUCUGACGCCCAACACGCAUGAGCUGUGGACAAAGUGACCCGUGUGCGGAAUGCAAACGCUGACACGCGGUGAGGUGCGGAGGGGGUGAAACAACAGCAAAAAUUGGACACGAAAAUAGCGGGAACACACACACACACACACACACACACACACGCGUACGCACACGAGGAAGACACAGUCGACGCGCGCGCACACACCGCCUCGCUAAUGUUUAGAGCGAACUGCGAAGAAAAUAGAAGCGCGAAAAAGAGCAAAUGGCAAACAAGCGACAGAUGCGCCGCCACGGCUCCUCUUCUCCAUUCGUUUUUUUUUUUGUUACGUGUCCGACGUAUGUGUUCUGCAUUUUUUUGAUUCUUUUCUUGUUGUUCUCGUGUGUGUAUAUGUGUGUGUGUGGCUGUUUGUUGUGGAUCUGUACCUCUUCUGCGUGUGCGUCUCUCUCUUUCUUUUUCUUUCUUCCCUCUCCUUACUGUGCUCGCUCUGCGUGGUGUUGCGCUCUUUUACGUCGGGUCCUGAUCUUCUUCGACAGCCGCUCUGCAUGACCCCGCCCUUCUUCCCAUCCCCUCUGCUGCGCGACUCGGGCCUUUGGCCCUCUCUUUCUGUUGGUUGCCCACGUGUUCUUCUUGUGCUUCCCCCCUUUCCCAUUGCGCACAGUGUGAGCAAAGCAGUCGACUGACAGACGCCGAGAAGAAGUAGGCCGACACACCCCCACCCACCAUCGUGGUGGGCCUAAGUGUCACGGGUCAGACCUUUGCGUGCGUUUUUUUCUCCGUUGUUGGUAAAAGGGGCUGACCCCGCCUCCCUCUCCCGUCUCACUUUAUUUUCUCCCACGUUUUCUUUUCGUUCUUUUUUGAUGUUGUCCCGUAUUUCGCGUGCGCACAGCCCUCACGCGCUAUCGAGGGGGCUGGCCAGAUGGAGGGGUGUGCUGCGGCGUUGGGGAGUGGUCGAUAAGCCAGAGAGGUGCCGGGCGUCGAUACGCUGCAAAGGAUCGGCGAAAAUGCUUGCAAGGGUGCACUGGACACCUCAACAAAGGAGCGAGGGGAGAAAAAAUUGAUGCGACAUAGCCAGAGCUACACCUGCGCUUGAGUGAGGCGAACGCCAACAGCGCGUAGAGUGACGCCGGAAAGCGGGUGCGGAGCGAGCGCGAAAAAACCCGUGAAAAGGCAAAGGCGCUAUGAAGAGCGUUUCGAAGUGAAAGAAAAAGCAAAAUCAACACCUGCGGGAAUGGUUUCUGCCCCUCGAAGACGCAUUGCUUGCGCAUCACUUCCCCGUCCCUGCCCCUCCUCCUUCUCCCGCGCAAAGGAGGUGGCACCUCUUUUUUCUAUAUGUGUUUGCGCGCGUGCCGGUCUUGACUUCUCUUUGGCGUUUUCUCUUUCGUGCUGUAUCUUUCUUUGCCUUUUUUUUUCGUGUGCUCGGCAUAUCCUUUUUUUUUUUCGGGGGAAAGGGGCUGUUUUGCCUGUCCUCUUGGCAGUUGUGUUUUGGUGGUUUUGAUGGUGGCGGGUGAGGAAGAACCGUUGGGAGGUCCCUAUACGAACUCCUGUUCUUUGGCUUCUUCUCCCACCUUGCAGCUUCUUACCUCUCACCGAGAGGAGCCUUGCUGCUAUUAUUUUGUGUCAGAGCCGCUAUUCUAUUUUUUCUGGCUUCUGUUUGCUCUCUUUCUAUACGGCACAUCGUUGUUGUGCAUUACCUCCUCUUCUGUUUUUUUUUUCUUCUUUCUGUGUUGUGUGUGUGGCGGCGCCAUGCCUUCCGCGCUCUUUGCUCCUCUCUCCACUCUUAUGCUCUUCUUUGGUGACUGUCCCGGCUGUGCUUCUGUUUUCUUGCCGUUCUCUGGAUGGGAGGCAGGAAGUGCAACCUUUGUGUCUCUCCGUUUCUGCAUUGCUGUCUGCAGGACAGGGGGAAGGGUAUGCGUGUGUGUGUGUGUGAAAAAAAAAAAGAGAUGCGCGGCGGACGGUGGUGGGCUAACAGCAGCGAUGGCGGUUUUCAACUGCGUCUUGUUCUGUUCCCUUCACGUCUAUGUUCCCCCCUCAGCCCACCCCCUUUUUCGGUCCUUUUUGCUUUUCGGUUACUCACUCGUCCAGAGCCUCAUUUCCAUGUGCAUGUGCAUGAAUGCUUUUGUUUGCCUUUUUGUGUGUCUAAAGGUGCGUUGUCGUGGGCUUGUGUGUGUGUGUGUGUUUGAAUGUGAAUCUUUCCCUCGUUUUCUCUCUCUCUGUCGUGCCGAUGCACAGCAACGUGUCUGCCUGUCUGCGUGUUUGUGUUUGAGUGCUUGGACCUUGUGGCAUGUAUCCAGCUAGGGGGAAAAGGCCAUUGACUUCGGUUUCUCCAUGCACGGGAGCGUUGCCUCCCCGCCAUUACCACCACGACCUCCGUCUGUGUACCUGAUUUUG